UGGGGGAUAUUGCACAAUGGGCGAAAGCCUGAUGCAGCGACGCCGCGUGGGGGAUGAAGGCCUUCGGGUUGUAAACUUCUUUUGCUCUGAACAAGGCAUGCCUUUGGGGUGUGUUGAGUGUAGGGGUUGAUUAGCGCCGGCUAACUACGUGCCAGCAGCCGCGGUAAUACGUAGGGCGCGAGCGUUGUCCGGAAUUAUUGGGCGUAAAGGGCUUGUAGGUGGCUGGUUGCGUCUGUCGUGAAAGCUCAUGGCUUAACUGUGGGUUUGCGGUGGGUACGGGCUGGCUUGAGUGCAGUAGGGGGGGCUGGAAUUCCUGGUGUAGAGGUGGAAUGCGCAGAUAUCAGGAGGAAUACCGGUGGAGAAGGCGGGUCUCUGGGCUGUUACUGACGCUGAGGAGCGAAAGCGUGGGGAGCGAACAGG
This 420-nucleotide ribosomal RNA is filed under the name Fusobacteriota bacterium. Its description in RNAcentral is "Fusobacteria bacterium partial 16S ribosomal RNA". It matches the Rfam family "Bacterial small subunit ribosomal RNA", at positions 355 to 776 of the family's 1533-position model. Lineage: Bacteria; Fusobacteriati; Fusobacteriota. The record is from RNAcentral.